Regulatory RNA element from Oceanospirillum sp., 86 nucleotides. It matches the Rfam family "Alpha operon ribosome binding site". Rfam says of the family: The bacterial alpha operon ribosome binding site is surrounded by this complex pseudoknotted structure. Translation of the mRNA produces 4 ribosomal protein products, one of which (S4) acts as a translational repressor by binding to the nested pseudoknot region. NCBI's taxonomy places the organism in Bacteria, Pseudomonadati, Pseudomonadota, Gammaproteobacteria, Oceanospirillales, Oceanospirillaceae. The record is from Rfam.
UACUGGUGUUCGUGGACUUGUUCCAAACACCUUUUUAUGAACGGAGUAAUAGAAUGGCCCGUAUAGCUGGCGUCAACAUUCCUGAC